RNAcentral lists this ribosomal RNA (538 nucleotides) under Salmonella enterica. RNAcentral's name for it is "bacterial SSU rRNA". It matches the Rfam family "Bacterial small subunit ribosomal RNA", at positions 1007 to 1533 of the family's 1533-position model. The record is from RNAcentral. Lineage: Bacteria; Pseudomonadati; Pseudomonadota; Gammaproteobacteria; Enterobacterales; Enterobacteriaceae.
UGGAUUUGUGCCUUCGGGAACUGUGAGACAGGUGCUGCAUGGCUGUCGUCAGCUCGUGUUGUGAAAUGUUGGGUUAAGUCCCGCAACGAGCGCAACCCUUAUCCUUUGUUGCCAGCGAUUAGGUCGGGAACUCAAAGGAGACUGCCAGUGAUAAACUGGAGGAAGGUGGGGAUGACGUCAAGUCAUCAUGGCCCUUACGACCAGGGCUACACACGUGCUACAAUGGCGCAUACAAAGAGAAGCGACCUCGCGAGAGCAAGCGGACCUCAUAAAGUGCGUCGUAGUCCGGAUUGGAGUCUGCAACUCGACUCCAUGAAGUCGGAAUCGCUAGUAAUCGUGGAUCAGAAUGCCACGGUGAAUACGUUCCCGGGCCUUGUACACACCGCCCGUCACACCAUGGGAGUGGGUUGCAAAAGAAGUAGGUAGCUUAACCUUCGGGAGGGCGCUUACCACUUUGUGAUUCAUGACUGGGGUGAAGUCGUAACAAGGUAACCGUAGGGGAACCUGCGGUUGGAUCACCUCCUUACCUUAAAGAAGC